GACCUGUUAGCUCAGUUGGUUAGAGCGCCGUGCUAAGAACACGAUGUCGAGGGUUCGAUCCCCUUACGGGCCA
Penaeus vannamei (Pacific white shrimp) is the source of this 73-nucleotide non-coding RNA. The record is from the annotation of a RefSeq genome assembly. NCBI's taxonomy places the organism in Eukaryota, Metazoa, Arthropoda, Malacostraca, Decapoda, Penaeidae.